This 245-nucleotide unclassified non-coding RNA is filed under the name Basidiomycota sp. RNAcentral's name for it is "partial contains small subunit ribosomal RNA, internal transcribed spacer 1, and 5.8S ribosomal RNA". The stretch from base 1 to 47 matches the Rfam family "Eukaryotic small subunit ribosomal RNA", at positions 1785 to 1831 of the family's 1831-position model. Lineage: Eukaryota; Fungi; Basidiomycota. The record is from RNAcentral.
AAAGUCGUAACAAGGUUUCCGUAGGUGAACCUGCGGAAGGAUCAUUAUAGUGGUGUGAGGGGGGGGGUGAGUGGGAGAGGAGAGGAGAGAGGAGAGUUGGGGAGGAGGAGGCGACUCUUUUUCCCCUCUUGACCGCUCCCCUCCUCUCUUGACCCCUCCCGACAUUUGCGCUUGUAGUGUCUGACAGACCAUCACGAUCAAUAAUAUACAUGGAACAACUUUUAACAAUGGAUCUCUUGGCUCUU